AGCUUUGCACAGUGGCAGUAUCGUAGCCAAUGAGGUUUAUCCAAGGCUCGAUUACUGCUAAUCUAGUGAGACCCAAGGUAAGUAACAUGGCUGGUGAAUGGCUAAGCUAGAAGUGCAUCCAGAUCUGUCCAGUCCAGGGCCUGG
This 144-nucleotide small nuclear RNA is filed under the name Vulpes vulpes (red fox). RNAcentral describes it as "U4 spliceosomal RNA (ENSVVUG00000014808.1)". The stretch from base 1 to 65 matches the Rfam family "U4 spliceosomal RNA". Lineage: Eukaryota; Metazoa; Chordata; Mammalia; Carnivora; Canidae. The record is from RNAcentral.